Molecule: long non-coding RNA, 280 nt
Organism: Metopolophium dirhodum (rose-grain aphid)
Lineage: Eukaryota; Metazoa; Arthropoda; Insecta; Hemiptera; Aphididae
Exons: 3
Source: RefSeq, a predicted model, not a curated record
ACCAGAUCUUAGGAGGUUGUCCACCUUCAAAAGUCAAAAGAACACUUUUUGGACCACUCAACGAUUCUAUUGAAGAUAGUGAGUGUUUAUCAUCUCCCAACAGCAGAAACAAAAUAUCAUCUGUUGCAAGAAAAUUAUCUGCUUUUAAACCAAGCACAUUAGUUGAUAAUGAUGUAUUGGAAAUUAAGUCUUCAGAAAGAGCAUAUAAAACAACUGCCAUAUAUAAUACAUCUUCAUCACCAUUUAAAGUGUCAUCACCAGAAAACCACCAGAUAUUCAC